This 97-nucleotide ribosomal RNA is filed under the name Lamarckia aurea. Its description in RNAcentral is "partial 26S ribosomal RNA". It matches the Rfam family "Eukaryotic large subunit ribosomal RNA", at positions 1 to 96 of the family's 3401-position model. Lineage: Eukaryota; Viridiplantae; Streptophyta; Magnoliopsida; Poales; Poaceae. The record is from RNAcentral.
GCGACCCCAGGUCAGGCGGGACUACCCGCUGAAUUUAAGCAUAUAAAUAAGCGGAGGAGAAGAAACUUACAAGGAUUCCCUUAGUAACGGCGAGCGA